Molecule: long non-coding RNA, 544 nt
Filed under: Cyanistes caeruleus (blue tit)
Lineage: Eukaryota; Metazoa; Chordata; Aves; Passeriformes; Paridae
Description: lncRNA (ENSCCEG00000008480.1)
Source: RNAcentral
GUGAGGAAACUAAGAUAGAUAAAGACCAGGUGAACUGUCCAAAUGACACAGCUACCCUGGGGCUGGCAAACUCCAAACGCUUUUAACCUUGGUCCUACAGAGGAGUGGUGCAGCAGGGGAUUGAAGCCAACACUUCCAGGAGGAGACAAUGGAAGAUUUAGGAUUGCUGCCUCAAAAAAGUGUUCUGAACUUCUUUCUUUGGAGUCACUACUCAGGAGGGAUCACUGACUAUUAAGAUCUGUUCUUCUUUCAUCAGCUCAAGCGAGUUCCCUAUAUGUUCACUGUAAUUUAACCAUACCUAAUUAGAGCUGGGAAAAUGGGAGCUUUGCCAUUGUUUUCCAUGGAGCCAGGAUUUCUCCCAACCUGUUUUUCUGCAUAGAUCUAAUACUCCCUCAGUGGGCUUAAGGUUUUGGUAAUGAUAAUGACAUAGCUCUGUGAUGUCUCUGGAGGAGGAGGGCUGCUAAUUGUCAGCCACGACAAAAGUGUGAUUACUCUUUAAUUGUGUUCUAAUAAAAAGGCAUUAUACGUAUUUCCUCCUAAUUGC